This 253-nucleotide ribosomal RNA is filed under the name uncultured bacterium. RNAcentral's name for it is "partial 16S ribosomal RNA". It matches the Rfam family "Bacterial small subunit ribosomal RNA", at positions 524 to 776 of the family's 1533-position model. The record is from RNAcentral.
UACGUAGGGUGCAAGCGUUGUCCGGAAUUAUUGGGCGUAAAGAGCUCGUAGGCGGUCUGUCGCGUCUGCUGUGAAAAUCCAGGGCUCAACCCUGGACCUGCAGUGGGUACGGGCAGACUAGAGUGCGGUAGGGGAGAUCGGAAUUCCUGGUGUAGCGGUGAAAUGCGCAGAUAUCAGGAGGAACACCGGUGGCGAAGGCGGUUCUCUGGGCCUUACCUGACACUGAGGAGCGAAAGCGUGGGGAGCAAACAGG